GGCAAGGUGGCCGAGUGGUUAUGGCGUCAGUUUUAGGAAAUCCAUCCACUGAUUCGAAAGAGCGCGGGUUCGAAUCCCGUCCUUGUCA
Monascus purpureus is the source of this 88-nucleotide non-coding RNA. Lineage: Eukaryota; Fungi; Ascomycota; Eurotiomycetes; Eurotiales; Aspergillaceae. The record is from the annotation of a GenBank genome assembly.